Molecule: long non-coding RNA, 1428 nt
Filed under: Sarcophilus harrisii (Tasmanian devil)
Lineage: Eukaryota; Metazoa; Chordata; Mammalia; Dasyuromorphia; Dasyuridae
Description: lncRNA (ENSSHAG00000031238.1)
Source: RNAcentral
AUCUGUUGUUAUUUAGGCAUGCCUGACCCUUCAUGACCCUAUAUGGGAUUUUCUUGGCAAAGUUACUGGAAUGGUUUGCCAUUUCCUUUUCUAGCUCAUUUUUCACCAGGGAAUAUACUGAAACCUACAGGGUUAAAUGACUUGCCCAAUGUCACAGAGCUAGUAAGUAUCUGGGGCAAGAUUUGAACUUAGGAAGAUGAGCACUCUAUUCACUGUGGUGAAAUGGGGGUGAAUAAAUAAUAUACUACCUACCUCACUGGGUUGUGAGGAGAGAAAAAACACUUUAUAAACCUGCAUAAUACAAAGAAAAUAUAUGUAUCAUAUGCAUAUAUAAUUUUUGUUGGAAGGAAGAGACUUCUAAGUGCCCAUACUUCUAACUCCUGUUUUUACCUGCCCCUUUUCUCUUUCAGGAAAAAGCAUCAUUUGAGAUGGGGAAAUCUAGUGGUAUUUCCUUGAGGGGUGGGGCUUAAGAAUGAACCUCCAAUAAAUAAGUCAAACUUAAGGGCAAAAGACCCAGAGAAAUCUAUGAUUAUUAUGGAAAAUAUCAAUAUCCUCAUAUUUGCAGCUGUGUUUGAACUCCCUCUGAGUUCUUCCCCAUUUCCAUUUUCCACUUCAUGGCUGGGCUGAUGCAGUGACAUCACAAUGGUUGUUAGGGACAGAAUGGACUAAGGAAGGACCUGAGAAGGUGAAAGAAGAUCUCUCCCUCCUAACUCCUCUUUCCAUGUCUUUUUCCUGUCCUUCCUCCUCCUUUCAUCACCUUUCCCUUUUAUCCUUCCCACUAUCCCAGCUAGGUAGAAGUUGUGUGGAAUCAUAUUUGAAGUUUAUAAAAAAAUGAAUGAAGAUUUUAGUCAGAGCUCUGACCACAACUCCAGUCCAAACAAGAAAACCAUCCAGAGUCUGAAAAAUUCGGGAAAGGAGCAAACCUUCAGGGACCGGAGGCAGAAGGAAAAAUUGAGAGAUAACUUCCUGUGGCAGAACGAAUGGUGGGGGGAAAACAGGCUCUGCACAUUUCUCCCCCCUGUGCUUGGGCCCUGUCUCUGUGGAUGCAGCUUAAGAACGAAAUUAGUGCUUCACCCUCGGCCCCCAACACUUCCCAGGCAGACUGCCCCAAAGCUUCCAUAUUUACUAUCCAAGAGAGAGUCAACACCAUCAAUGGCCUGGUCUCAAACACGUCCUACUUCUCCUUCAUCUUUACACCCAACCUCCCCGACUGGUCUCCAGCCUACCAGUCACCCUCUGCAACCCCGGCAACUGGUCCCUUUAGGUAUUUGGCCCCAAGGUUUUAUCAUGGCUCCUCCCAAGAACAGGCCUCCCAGAAGCCAUUCCCACUUUCCUUAGGGAGGUACCCCAUUCCCUCAAGGAGAAUGAUAACUCCCUAAUCCAUUUAUAUUAAUAAUAAAAUGUAUAUUAAAAAUAAAUAUAUAUUUA